GCCCGAGUGGCGGAAUGGUAGACGCAGGGGAUUCAAAAUCCCCCGCCGCAAGGCGUGCGAGUUCGAGUCUCGCCUCGGGCA
RNAcentral lists this transfer RNA (81 nucleotides) under Meinhardsimonia xiamenensis. RNAcentral's name for it is "Albidovulum sp. YBY-7 tRNA". It matches the Rfam family "tRNA". From Rfam's summary of the family: Transfer RNA (tRNA) molecules are approximately 80 nucleotides in length. Their secondary structure includes four short double-helical elements and three loops (D, anti-codon, and T loops). Lineage: Bacteria; Pseudomonadati; Pseudomonadota; Alphaproteobacteria; Rhodobacterales; Paracoccaceae. The record is from Rfam by way of RNAcentral.